Vombatus ursinus (common wombat) is the source of this 102-nucleotide small nuclear RNA. The record is from Ensembl. NCBI's taxonomy places the organism in Eukaryota, Metazoa, Chordata, Mammalia, Diprotodontia, Vombatidae.
AUGCUCCAUAGCACAUACUUUGAAAUUAGAACCAUACAGAGAAGGUUAUCAUGGCUCCUACACAAAGAUGACAUGAAAGUUCCUGAACUAGGUUACGUUUUU